Long non-coding RNA from Capsicum annuum, 1514 nucleotides. RefSeq lists it as uncharacterized. The record is from RefSeq and is a predicted model, not a curated record. Lineage: Eukaryota; Viridiplantae; Streptophyta; Magnoliopsida; Solanales; Solanaceae. The transcript has 3 exons.
GAUGCACCUAGUAUCUUUUCUUUUGAGAGGGAAGCUAAAACAAUUUCUGCCAACUUUUUACUUCUUAGUUCAAUAGGCAGAGAAUUGAUAUAUUUUGAUAAAUUUUUAUUCGCCUAAAGUGUUAAAUUUUUUCAUGGUGCAGUGUUGCUCCUGGAGGCAAAACAACUUAUGUUGCUGCCUGCACUGAUGAAAAAUAGUGCUAUGUAAUCAUUGCGCAGUUAAUCGUGUUGUAUUCCUUGUGCAGGGAUUCAUUUUCUCUACAAUGCAUCCAUACUUCUGGAUAUAGAUGGGAGAAUGAACAUGAAUACAUUUGGCUGCCCUGGUGUUAAUUAUCUCCAUUUCCUUGUAAAAGAAUUCAUUUAUUUUCAGUUUCUAUCCUGCUAUUUUUUAAUGCAUUAUACCAAAAUAUUCUGGAUUGAUCGUUCUAUUUUACUAUUCACUCAUAUACAUCAUUCUCGAUCAAAAAGUUGAAAAUUUAAUGUUUAGAUUUUCAAGUAUUGAUCCAGGCUGUGGAAUAACUAGUUGAAAAUAAACCUCCUGAAAAGAUGACUUUGAAUCAGCUUGCAUGGUUAUAUUCAAUCAUGUUAACUGCAGCAGUGGUAAAACUCGCCCUGUGGCUUUACUGCAAAAGCUCAAGGAAUGACAUUGUUCGCACCUAUGCAAAGGUGAUGGUGUUGUUACCAAAGGACAGGGCUAUGGAAUUUGUAGUAUUCGUGUGGAUGGUAAUGAUGCUCUUGCUAUUUUCACCGCUGUCCAGGAGGCACGAAAAAUAGCUGUUAAUGAACAUAAACCUGUUCUAGUUGAGGUAAACUGCACUCUUUUUGAUAUUGAGGCUUAUGCUAGCUGUGGAAGUGUCGUUAACUGCUUUCUUUAUGUUCAACAGGCUCUCAGGAAGCAGGUAAAUUCUACUCACAGAAGAACUUUUUAAGUUCAUUGUUGCAUGUAUAGCUUUCUAGUGCAGAAUUCUAAGUAUUCUAGACACAUAUCAUCAGUAUAUGCUACUAGAAAACAUAGACAACUUGUUGUGCUAGGAACUGAGAUGGACUUAAAUAAACUCUCGAAAAUACCUGCUCUUAUUUUUGAAAUUAAACACCUGUUCUCAACUUAAACUCUUAAAUAAACUCUUGAAAUUAAACAUAUGUGGCCUGCAAUUGGGUCCAAUUAAGUUCUGAUCAUGCGGCGUUUGGACCACAAUCCAACAGUUGAUUUUUUCUACAUAAUAGUGUUUUUCUUUCUUGCAGUCAAGACUCUAGGCAAAGAAGAAUGCUGGUGCGGAUAAGAGACAUCAAUAUAAAGGUAAGGUGGUUUUUAAAGGAAACAUUAAGUGGAUCUAUUUGUGUUAUACAACAACAUAGUAUGUUAUUCAACUAGAGAAGAUCAUAGUUCAACUCACAAAUCAUCAAGGAUAUAAAUAAUAAUGUAUAUUGUGAUCGAGGAUGUCGCAAAGCCUAGAUUAAGCAUGGAGUCAGUCUAUUUCUCGAAGGGAACAUGAUGAAAAUUUGCGUGUACUAUAA